Gavialis gangeticus (Gharial) is the source of this 163-nucleotide long non-coding RNA. RefSeq lists it as uncharacterized. The transcript has 3 exons. NCBI's taxonomy places the organism in Eukaryota, Metazoa, Chordata, Crocodylia, Gavialidae. The record is from RefSeq and is a predicted model, not a curated record.
GGCAGGCAGAAGGGCUGAGGCAGGGGGACAUGGAAGAGGAGGAUCCACUUUCCCAUGUCAGCACUCCAACCACGAGGCAAUCUCCUCCACCAUAGCCGCUGCCAAUGUGGGCCAAGGGCAUGGCUUCAAUGUUGGGGUCCAGAGGCACCAGACCCCACCAUCA